GAUGAACGCUGGCGGCGUGCUUAACACAUGCAAGUCGAACGAUGAAGCCCAGCUUGCUGGGUGGAUUAGUGGCGAACGGGUGAGUAACACGUGAGUAACCUGCCCUUAACUCUGGGAUAAGCCUGGGAAACUGGGUCUAAUACCGGAUAGGAGCGUCCACCGCAUGGUGGGUGUUGGAAAGAUUUAUCGGUUUUGGAUGGACUCGCGGCCUAUCAGCUUGUUGGUGAGGUAAUGGCUCACCAAGGCGACGACGGGUAGCCGGCCUGAGAGGGUGACCGGCCACACGGGGACUGAGACACGGCCCAGACUCCUACGGGAGGCAGCAGGGGGGAAUAUUGCACAAUGGGCGCAAGCCUGAUGCAGCGACGCCGCGGGAGGGAUGACGGCCUUCGGGUGGUAAACCUCUUUCAGUAGGGAAGAAGCGAAAGGGACGGUACCUGCAGAAGAAGCACCGGCUAACUACGU
This 465-nucleotide ribosomal RNA is filed under the name uncultured bacterium. Its description in RNAcentral is "partial 16S ribosomal RNA". It matches the Rfam family "Bacterial small subunit ribosomal RNA", at positions 28 to 506 of the family's 1533-position model. The record is from RNAcentral.